This 505-nucleotide ribosomal RNA is filed under the name uncultured bacterium. RNAcentral describes it as "partial 16S ribosomal RNA". It matches the Rfam family "Bacterial small subunit ribosomal RNA", at positions 28 to 507 of the family's 1533-position model. The record is from RNAcentral.
GACGAACGCUGGCGGCGUGCCUAAUACAUGCAAGUAGAACGCACAGUUUAUACCGUAGCUUGCUACACCAUAGACUGUGAGUUGCGAACGGGUGAGUAACGCGUAGGUAACCUGCCUGGUAGCGGGGGAUAACUAUUGGAAACGAUAGCUAAUACCGCAUAAUAUUGAUUAUUGCAUGAUAAUUGAUUGAAAGAUGCUAUUGCAUCACUACCAGAUGGACCUGCGUUGUAUUAGCUAGUAGGUGAGGUAACGGCUCACCUAGGCGACGAUACAUAGCCGAACUGAGAGGGUGAUCGGCCAGCCUGGGACUGUGACACGGCCCAGACUCCUACGGGAGGCAGCAGUAGGGAAUCUUCGGCAAUGGACGAAAGUCUGACCGAGCAACGCCGCGUGAGUGAAGAAGGUUUUCGGAUCGUAAAGCUCUGUUGUAAGAGAAGAACGGGUGUGAGAGUGGAAAGUUCACACUGUGACGGUAUCUUAACAGAAAGGGACGGCUAACUACGUG